This 204-nucleotide ribosomal RNA is filed under the name uncultured bacterium. Its description in RNAcentral is "partial 16S ribosomal RNA". It matches the Rfam family "Bacterial small subunit ribosomal RNA", at positions 524 to 723 of the family's 1533-position model. The record is from RNAcentral.
UACGUAGGGUCCGAGCGUUGUCCGGAAUUAUUGGGCGUAAAGGGCUCGUAGGCGGUUUGUUCGCGUCGGGAGGUGAAACGACCGGGCGCUUAACUCGGUGCUUGCUUUCGAUACGGGCAGACUGGAGGUAUGCAGGGGAGAACGGAAUUCCUGGUGUAGCGGUGAAAUGCGCAGAUAUCAGGAGGAACACCGGUGGCGAAGGCG